This 253-nucleotide ribosomal RNA is filed under the name uncultured bacterium. RNAcentral describes it as "partial 16S ribosomal RNA". It matches the Rfam family "Bacterial small subunit ribosomal RNA", at positions 524 to 776 of the family's 1533-position model. The record is from RNAcentral.
UACGGGGGGGGCAAGCGUUGUUCGGAAUUACUGGGCGUAAAGGGUCUGUAGGUGGCCAACUAAGUCAGACGUGAAAUCCCUCAGCUUAACUGGGGAACUGCGUCUGAUACUGGUUGGCUUGAGUGCAGGAGAGGAAUGCGGAAUUCCAGGUGUAGCGGUGAAAUGCGUAGAUAUCGAGAGGAACACCUGCGGCGAAGGCGGGUUGCUGGGCCGACACUGACGCUGAUGCGCGAAAGCCAGGGGAGCGAACGGG